This 713-nucleotide long non-coding RNA is filed under the name Daphnia magna. RNAcentral's name for it is "uncharacterized LOC123467788, transcript variant X1". The record is from RNAcentral. Lineage: Eukaryota; Metazoa; Arthropoda; Branchiopoda; Diplostraca; Daphniidae.
AUUUUGCAUCUUUCUAAAAUUUAAUCACACACAAGCAUUCUGGCAUGUGUCAGGCAACAGGUUUCAGGAAUGGCAUGGUCCCCUGUUGAGCCUUGCCUACACCCUCGGUUAUUGAAAAUGGUAUUGGAACAAGUAAUUACAUGGAGCUGGAGCGUCAAUUUGGGACUUGAUUUGUCAUCUUUUGGUUGAGGACCCACCAUUUUAUUCCCACACUUAUCAUUGGAAUUCUGGGAUGGUAGCUGUUGUUGCAGGACACUCUCCUUGGUUCGUUAGGGAAGUUCCAGAAAGCAGCAUUCCAAGAGCAAGAAUAUAAUUUGCCAGCCGUCAACACAAUAUAGAUUGUUUAACUUUGUUUUCUUGCCUUGGUGGUGAAACUGAAUUAUAUUGAGAUUAAAAAAAUUUUGAAGCUAUUUGCCUACUAGUGAGAAAACAUGUGAAGAGUUGCUGAAAUGUGUCAACAGAGCAAAAUGCAAAACAUGGAUUAAAUUCGAAAAAACUAAUUUGAGUUUGCAGUGGCAGAAAUUUAAAGUCUGUGCCAGGAUAAUGGCUAUCCAUGUUGAGAAUUUGAAUUGCAAAUUCUAAUUCUACCUAAAGGUAAAAGUAUAUAAGUACUUGUUGCCUAUAGAUUGCUCAAUGGGAAUAUAAGUUUGCAUGUCUUGAAAUUGGUUUUCUUCUUCAAUUAUAAAAUUCAAUACACAAAGAUAUAAAUGGAA